AAAAAGAGGGGAAAAGAAAGGUAUGAGAUCCAAGAGCACAGGUGUUCACAGCUGUUGCUUUAUUCUUAGAAGUACAGUACAUACAAAACUCAUUUUCUAAUCUUAAAAUUCAGUUUCAUUUAGCUAAAAUUUCUCUACAGCAUGAGGCUUAACGCCAUUAAGGAAUGGUUAAUUAUCUAAGAAAGGUAACUACCCUUCACAAACUAAACUUCACAAAAUCCACUAUUUCUGUGCCCCAACCACUCUAAAGCAUCUCCUGCACAAAAGGUUACAUUAUGAAAAUUAACUAUGUCUGGACACCAUUCCAGGUAUUUGAUCUAAACAACAGGAUAUCCCAGAUCUAGGGUGCUGGGCUGUUUCAGUGAAGAAAGAAAUAACAAAUGCCUGAAGAAGUACUAACUUGUUAAGACUAACAAGAAUUUAGUUGACAAAGAAGAUGCGCUUGGAGGAAAAACAAGAACAAAAGUGAAGUCCUAAGGGUAGAUGCAAACUUUAAGUAGCAUAAUCUUGCAUAUUUUUAUCUUUACUUUUUCAGUUCAGUUAUUAGUCUUCUGUGUCGGGCCUAAUCUAUCUCCAUAUAUGGAAUUCUCCUUAGCGUCAUUCCUCUCACACUGUCCAUGCCUGUUUUGUCCCAUCAAGGAUGGUAGCACAGCCUAAUACCACGCUUAUCAGAAGAAUGGGAAUGGCAAUUUAUCAUGCAAUGUUUAAGACAUUUGAUGAAGGCAUUCAUAAAAGAACAACUUGCUAAGGAAAUAUCUUUCCCUAGUUCACCCUUUUGCAUUUAUUUAAUUUAAAUUGCUUGUGCAAGAGACCUAAGGAUGAACUAUUUAUGUUCCUAAUGCUACACAAACUAAUCUGACUAUGUUUGAAAUACAUUACUUUCAGGAAAAUAUAAAUAAAUUCUAUCUUUUUCUAACAGAAUUUACUUCAGUUCUAUCUUUGAGCAUUAAAAUUAGAAUAAGAUGUAGAACUGUUGACUGUAACAUGACCGUUACAGAGAUUGUGUAUAAAAUGAUAAAAUAAAACUGAUAUAUUACACUUAAACAGCCUCCAAAGGCAUAAUCCUGAAUAGAAUGAAGAGGAAAAAUAGCUACAAGCAGCUAUCUGCCGGCAUUCUUCCAGCAGAAAGAAAUCUAGGAGGUAAAAUUUCUGAUGACUACACUCUCACUGCCAUCUAGUGGACAAAAGCAAAGAUUUCCAAAAUCAAGACAUUUCAUUCUUCUACCAAGAACAAUCACUGGUAUGUUGUGCACCUCCUAAAAGCUUUGUUUCUCCUCAUCAGCUAGUAAAACAUUACACAGAAGCAUCCUGACAUUUAAUCUACCUUGAAAAACAUUUCAAUAUAUAACUUACAUUUUUAAAUACUUUGAUUUUUAAAAUAAUUUUAUUUAUUCUUCUGGUUCUGUAAGUUCUACAGGACUCACCCUCUUUCCCCCUUGUUUUUAGGAAGAGGGUCUCUCAUCACUUAUGAGGUCACCUAUGAUCUCAGAAUCAAGAGCAAUUUCUGCUUGCAAAAUAAAGGGGAAAACAAGAUGUACUGGUUCCACGGAGUUAUAAACAUGCCAUCCUAAAAUUUACUGAGUUCUACAAAGCUGCAACUGCACAAAAGCAACACAACCAUCUGACCAAGGCUAUUGGAGAACAGUCUGAAACAAGACCUCAGAGAUACACAUGUAGCAUUGAGAUGGCUAGGUGGUUAUGUGAAUUCUGUAUUUUGGAUAAUUAAACAGCAAUAUUGUUCAUUCAUUACACUGCUAGCCAUUGAAGGAAAAAGAUCUGCUUUGAUAAAAAAGUGAUUUCUUGACAACUGCUAAUUAUUUGACUACUGAACCCAGGAUCUAUACAAACAUUUUGAAAAGGAGAAAAACUGUCACUUUCCUCUGUGGAAAGAACAAAGCCUCUCUUUCAAACUACUAUAUCCUUCAACAACUUUGAAUUCUAAGUCUGGACCAUUUCUUAUAUAUUCCUUUAUUUCAACAUUUUUAAUUCUUUACAGCUCUAACCAGAAGUUCUGUGAAUAAUCCUUUCCACCCUGACACUAACUUAAGAAUUCUACUAUCUUAUACUUGCAUAUUCUGUGGACUGGCCAAGAUACAGCAUCAACAGUUCAGAAUGGGAGUCAUAGCAGAUGUUAGGGUUGAGCUGUUUUAUACUUAGUUUUUGCUUUGUUUUUAAAGAGAAGGGUGGGGGGGAUGGAACAACAGUAGGGUGGUUCUCAAAAAUAAUCAAAACCUAAUCAUUCUAGUUUUAAGAUCUCAAGUUUACCAAUACCAAUAGGUAAGUCCAAAGAGAAUGCAGAGUAGUGUUAACUGCAGUGUUCUUACAAGCUCUUGCAACAUGCUUAGUACUACAGGUAUAAUUUCUGCAAAACUGUCCCAGCUUUUUUUCAUACAUUCCCCUAUUUUUUUAUUAAAAUUAAUAUAGCAUGGUUUUUUGGAAGCAGUUCCUUCAUAUAUUUGUGAAGCAAACAUCCAUCUUCAAACUGUUUACAUGGUAUGGACUUCCUCUACAGACAAGCCACACACACACACACACAAGUAUAUUGUCCUUUUUGUUUGAACAGCUGUUUUCUCACAAAAUCUGUCAUAUCUGUACUCUAAACAUAUUAAAGCCUCCAAAAUAACACUUGAAGAAUAAACUAGAAUAACUGGAACUCAGUUACAAUUUUAUUUCCACUCCAUUCUGCUCCUAACUAAACUCUGUAACCUUUUGAAAAAUGUGUCAUUCCAACAGCAGUAAAACAAAAGUAAAAUACAUAAACAUAAUCAUCAUUUAUAUGCUUGUUAGUGUACAUCAAGUACUGAUCUUACUGCAGGUCAGAAGCUGUUCAGAAGGAAAAUGAACAACAAAAGAAUUGCCAAAAAUAUACUAAUGAGAUUCAAAUAAUCUUCCCAAGCUCAAUUAGCGAUUUUAUUAGUGAGAGUAAGCACAUAUUUGUCUUGUUUAAUUUAUCUACAAUGAGGUAGCUUUCACAUUCAAUAAAAUCUUAUUUGCAUUGUAAGGAUGUUGAACUUUAGUUCUACAAUCAACAAUUAAAUUAGAAAAGAUAUUAAAAAUAAUGACAGUAAACCAACAAGAAGUCAGCUUGGUGAAGAUUAAAAUAGCUAGGUAGGAUGGCAUCAUCUCAAAAGUACAUCCAAAAUGAAAGUGAAUUAGAAUCACAGAACCGACAAGAUUGGAAAACACCUCCAAGAUCAUCCAGUCCAGCUGUCUACCUGCCACCAAUAUUUCCCACUAAACUCUGUCCCUUAGUACAAUAUCUAAAUGCUUCCUGAACACCUCCAGGAAUGGUAACUCAAGCACCUUCUGGGCAGUGCAUUCCAGCUUCUGAUCACUCUUUCAGAGAAAAAGAAUUCCUAACAUCCAACCUGAACUUCCCUUUGCAUAACUUGAGCCCGUUUCCUCUAGUUCUAUUGCUAACUGCCUACCAGCUCCUCAAAACUAUCUUACCCCAAUACUGUACUCCAAACUGUUUCCCCAGUCAUUACUUAAGCAAAUGCGCCUGAAAUAACAGCUCAGAAGACAGUGAAAAUAACACUGUUGCAUCCAAGAACGUCAGAGGUCUGGGAGAAAAUAAACUCAUAAAACUGAUAAUGCAGAUACAGUUUCCCAAAUUAGGCAUGCAGAACCCAAAGUAAGCUUAAGUACCUAACAUUCUCAAUAUCCAGCCAGCUGUCAAACAUAUUGAUGUAAUCAACAUUCAACCUUAAUUUUGAAAAUCUCAGUCCAAGUAACAAAUACAUAACACCACUAUAUAUAUAUAUACAUACAUAUAUAUAUAUACAUUAAUAUUCUUAAACAUAAAAGCUGGGCACCUGUUUCCUGGAGUAUAAUUGUAACAAAGCCAUUAACAACAGAAGCACAAGUCACAAGAAGUUUCAGAAUAGCUUUUAUUUAAACUUGUAUCUCUGUUUCCAACAGAUGUAACAGGACUGACUGCCUGAAGAACACAAUAAACCUCUUCAAAUUUAAGAUUAAACCUUACACAAAAGUAAUGCUUAAAAAAAAAAAAAAAAAAAA
Coturnix japonica (Japanese quail) is the source of this 4020-nucleotide non-coding RNA. The record is from RefSeq and is a predicted model, not a curated record. NCBI's taxonomy places the organism in Eukaryota, Metazoa, Chordata, Aves, Galliformes, Phasianidae.